CCAGCACCCGCGGUAAUUCCAGCUCCAAUAGCGUAUAUUAAAGUUGUUGCAGUUAAAAAGCUCGUAGUUGGAUUUGUGGUGGUCCCUGUGGUCCAAUAAUGGUACUUUCGGGGACUGCCAUCCUUGGGUGGAUCCUGUGUGGCAUUAGGUUGUCGUGCAGGGGAUGCCCAUCGUUUACUGUGAAAAAAUUAGAGUGUUCAAAGCAGGCUUAUGCCGAUGAAUAGAUUAGCAUGGAAUAAUGAGAUAGGACCUCGGUACUAUUUUGUUGGUUUGCGCACUGAGGUAAUGAUUAACAGGGACAGUUGUGGGUAUUCGUAUUGCAUUGUCAGAGGUGAAAUUCUUGGAUUUCUGCAAGACGAACUAAUGCGAAAGCAUUUACCAAGGAUGUUUUCAUUAAUCAAGAACGAAAGU
RNAcentral lists this ribosomal RNA (411 nucleotides) under uncultured Halamphora. RNAcentral describes it as "SSU rRNA". It matches the Rfam family "Eukaryotic small subunit ribosomal RNA", at positions 567 to 990 of the family's 1831-position model. Lineage: Eukaryota; Bacillariophyta; Bacillariophyceae; Naviculales. The record is from RNAcentral.